RNA transcript from Saccostrea echinata, 3615 nucleotides. It is a transcript of the gene named cytochrome P450 2C6-like, with no coding region annotated. The record is from RefSeq and is a predicted model, not a curated record. NCBI's taxonomy places the organism in Eukaryota, Metazoa, Mollusca, Bivalvia, Ostreida, Ostreidae. The transcript is spliced from 5 exons.
UUUUACAGUUGAGAAGGUUAUUACUGCGUGCCAUACUCAUCGACAACUGACUUUCAAGGAAAGAUAAUGAUAGAUUUGUGGACACUUUUUCUUGCCUGUGCGGUUAUUAUUUUGUGCGUGUGGUGGAGGAAAACCUCUAGGGACUCCUCCUUACCCCCGGGUCCACCCACUAUUCCUUUCCUAGGAAAUCUACUCUCUGUGUCUCCUGAUACUAUGUUAGAGAAUUUCCAGACUUACAGAAAAAAGUAUGGGGAUGUUUUCAGCUUGAUUACAGGUACCAGAACAAUGGUUGUUGUGAACGGAAUGGACACCAUUCGAGAUAUUUUCAUUAAGCAUGGGGACAUCGUUUCCGAAAGGCCAGAUCUUUUUGUAACCAAAGUAAUAACCAAGUAUAAAGGUGUCAUCCUUUCCUCGGGAGAAUUUUGGAAAGAGCACAGAACAUUCAGUCUAAAUGCUCUCAGAGAGUUUGGAUUUGGAAAACGAAGCUUGGAAUCUAAAAUAUUGGAGGAGGUGGAUGUUUUUGUCAACGAAGUUCAGUCAACAAAUGGACAACCAUUCAAUAUGCAAGCUUUGAUAACUGUAUGCGUCUCAAAUAUCAUGUGUUCCAUUAACUUUGGUAAAAGAUUUGAACAUAGCGACAAAAAUUUUAUGUCACUCAUCGAAGCAAUAAACGAAAACUUAAGCAAUGGAAAUAUGAUGUUUCUAGCGAGCUUUCUUCCGUUUUUGAGGUAUUUUCCAGGUGAUCCAUUAAAGAUUAGAAAAGUAUUGAAGAAUGUUGAUUUGGUGGAAAAGUAUCUUUUAAAAAUUAUCAGCGAUCACAAAGAAAGCUUUGAUGAAAACAAUCUUAGAGAUUUCAUCGAUGUGUAUUUGAAGAAAAUGAAAUCGGAAGAGAGCAACCCAAACACGACCUUUGAUGAUGAACAGUUGGUGAAGCUUUUGUUAGAUUUCUUUGCUGCUGGAACGGAAACAACAUCUACAGCUCUUAGGUGGUUUGCUGUUUUUAUGAUCAGAAACCCGGAAGUGCAAGAAAAAAUGCGAAUCGAAAUCAAUGACGUCAUAGGAAAUUCCAGGUACCCUACAAUGGAGGACAGGCCAAAUCUACCCUACACAGAGGCAGUUCUUCAUGAGGUUCUUCGUAUUGGAUGUGUCGUCCCUUUAUCUCUCCCUCAUGGAUUAAAAACUGAUUUAAAAUACAAAGAAUUUAUUAUUCCGAAAGAUGUUAUUUUAAUUCCUAAUCUAUAUUCUGUACUUUUUGACCCAGACGUGUUUGAAGAUCCGGAAGUCUUCCGACCUGAGAGAUUCUUGGAUGGUGAGGGAAAAUUGAUUAACACAGACAAAGUCUUGACAUUCUCACUUGGUCGUCGUGUUUGUCUUGGCGAAUCCUUGGCCAGGAUGGAAUUGUUUCUGUUUGCUUCAUCCAUGAUGCAGCGAUUUAAAAUCCUUCCUGCUGACCCCAAACAGAUACCACCAUUAAAAGGGGUUCUCGGGGUGACUUAUGGUCCAAAAGAUGUCUUAUUAAAGGCAACCAGUGUUUAGUUGUUUAAUUUCUUGACUAAAUGUAUGAAAUGCACAAAUUUCAUAUUUUCCAUCAAUCAGUCGAUUUCUUUUUGAAACAUUUAAAGUAAUAAGAGCACAAGUAUUAGUUAACUAAAUAAUGAAAUGCAUGUCAGUUAUUCCCUAGGCAUAAGAUUAACAGUUAUUCAUUGGCACCAUGCGCUCUUAAUUGAAGUGGCCUAUUUUAGCUAAGUUAGCCACCCUUUUGCUUCACACAUUCGUUAGAUAAAAUAACAUUAACAAAACUAUAGGUUUCACAUAUUUCAUAAAGUAAUCUCUUGAGUUGUCACUUUUAACUAUAACCUUGUCUUACAAGUAUCAAAAAUGAUACAUGUACAAUAGUCCCCUAGCCAAUUAUUUUCUUUAAUAAAGCAGUAAGCGUUCAUUAAUUCACAUGAUAAGAAUGUUCAACGAUCGAUGACCGGCAUUCUUUAGUAUUUUCACUGCAAUGUACGAUUCAUUUCCAUAAAGAUACAAAAUUUAAUUUACUGUCAGGCAAUUUUAACUCACCUCAACGAAGACGAAAUGAGCUUAUGCUAUACCUAUGGCGUCGGCUUUAACGUUGGCGUCCCGGUUUAAGGUCCAUUCCCAAGUAACUAUUAGCCAAUGCUGACCAAACUUGCAUGAUUGAUGCAUCUAGCGGUGUACACCACUAGACUUGCUUCGGAUGCGGUAUCUGACGAUAUAUUUUCUAGAUGAAAGAAGGAGUAGGUCCAUUCCCAAGUAACUAUUAGCCAAAUGCUGACCAGACUUGCAUGAUUGAUGCAUCUAGCGGUGCACACCACUAGACUUGCUUCGGAUGCGGUAUCUGACGAUAUAUUUUCCAGAUGAAAGAAGGAGUAGGUCCAUUCUCAAGAAAUUACAUAUAUGAGCCCAAUGGAGACAAAACGUGCAGGUUGAUGCUUCAUCUAAGUAUGCACAUUUACCAGAUCUGUGUUUGGAACAGGCCCAUUCCCAAGUAACUGUGAGCCCUUAUGGUUAUUUUCAUUCAUAUUUCGAAUCUCAAUAUAUCCUAGUGAAUUCGAAAUAAAAGACACCACAGUAUGCUAGAUCUAUUUCAUACCUGAAUGCUUUACUGACUACAGAAGAUAAUGGCCAAUGAAUAACUAAACUGUUUGACACACGGGAUGACUUCAGCUGUUCUAUCGCCAACUUUACUUAUGUUUGUAGUCAUAUUCCAAAACCUGCAUAUGCUUUCUAUAUCUCCAAAUUUAUUCGACACUUAAGAGCAUGUUCUCAGCACGAACAUUUUUUAACUGAAACAUGCUACUGACAAGUAAGUUGAUUUUACAGGGAUUUCAACAACCUCAUUUAAAGUCAGCGUUCCCCGAAUUCUACGGUCGUGAUAAUGACCUUGUUUGCAAAUACAACCACUCUUUGGGUAGUAUUUUGUCUGAGACGUUUCAUAUCAAUUGUUAGGUCAAUGCUUGUUUACCAUAUUUGUCUACGGAUUACUUUUUUUUAUUUGAACAUACUUUAUUAUGUAAUGGAAUAUAAAUGGAUUGGGAAGCAGACAUUGCCUAUAUAAGCCCUCUCCAUGAUUACUACGGAGUACUCCGUCCCCCUAAUCAGUACAUAGGGCUCACGACGGGUGUGACCGGUCAUCAGAGGACGCUUAGGACGGGUGUGACCGGUCAUCAGAGGACGCUUACUCCUCCUGGGUACUUGAUCCGACUUCUGAUGAUUCUAGUGCUCUGUGUUUUUGCUCUAUUCACGAUUUGAAUUUUUUAUUGCGUUUCUGAGAUUGUUCACUGCUCGUCACUGUUCCACACCUUUUAACAUUCAUUCCCAAGUAACGAUAAGCCCUAUGAUGACAAAAAUUGGAUGGAUGAUGCAUCUAGAAAUGUGCACUACCAGAAUUUGUUUUUCAUGUGAGUCUUUGCUUUACCAAUAUAACUUUCGUUGAGGUUAGCUUUGUAAUCUUUGAUUACCUAUUAUUCAUUAUUUAGCUUUGUAAUCUUUGAUUACCUAUUAUUCAGUAUUUAGCUUUGUAAUCUUUGAUUACCUAUUAUUCAGUAUUUAGCUUUGUAAUCUUUGAUUACCUAUUAUUCAUUAUUUAGC